AAGUCGUAACAAGGUUUCCGUAGGUGAACCUGCGGAAGGAUCAUUACCACAUUUUGUGUUUUAAACACAAAAAUCUAUAAAACUAUACCAAUCAUGUGUGAAGCAAAAGAAAUUGAUCUUGGUGGCUUUUUUGAUUCGCGCUUUCGAUAGAAAGUGAAUUGAGAGAGCCGCCCAAUUUUUGUAACAAACACUCUUAUAAACGAACACUAAACGAAAACUUUUUUCAGUCUUUUUCUUAAGUGUAAAAAGGCGACAAAAACCAAAUGAGAUAAAACUUUUAACGGUGGAUCUCUUGGCUCGU
RNAcentral lists this unclassified non-coding RNA (301 nucleotides) under fungal sp. Its description in RNAcentral is "partial internal transcribed spacer region". The stretch from base 1 to 46 matches the Rfam family "Eukaryotic small subunit ribosomal RNA", at positions 1786 to 1831 of the family's 1831-position model. The record is from RNAcentral. Lineage: Eukaryota; Fungi.